This is a non-coding RNA of Prunus avium (sweet cherry), 107 nucleotides long. Lineage: Eukaryota; Viridiplantae; Streptophyta; Magnoliopsida; Rosales; Rosaceae. The record is from RefSeq and is a predicted model, not a curated record.
CAAGCCCCGCCAAUUUGUUUCUAGUCUCUCCAGUUUUUUCUUUUUUGCAGCUGGUGUAAGACUUUAUCCCGCAUUAAUUUGCAGCCAUGCCUCCUUUCCCUGCUCUG